UUCAUGCCAAUCUGUAAGUCGCUCUGGAUAAGAGCGUCUGCUAAAUGACUUAAA
Molecule: non-coding RNA, 54 nt
Organism: Salmo salar (Atlantic salmon)
Lineage: Eukaryota; Metazoa; Chordata; Actinopteri; Salmoniformes; Salmonidae
Source: Rfam